Molecule: long non-coding RNA, 3855 nt
Filed under: Oreochromis niloticus (Nile tilapia)
Lineage: Eukaryota; Metazoa; Chordata; Actinopteri; Cichliformes; Cichlidae
Description: lncRNA (ENSONIG00000038415.1)
Source: RNAcentral
CUUUAUUUGGGGAAGUUUAUGUGUCACAUGAGAUAAGUAAAGUCCUUAACAGUGCACAUGCUUACAUUUUAAACAUGUUUUUAGUAUAGGUUAUAUGCAUGAUUAAAAUAAAGCAUGUUUUAUGGUACUGGACCAGUUAUUUCCCAGUGUUUUUAGCAUGUAACUCUUUAAAAACGUCUUGACUGCGAUUCCUUUAGAAUUCAGUCCUACUGAAUUCACUUGAAAUGGGACGGCAGCCAACAAAAGGACGCGAAAGUUGUCUUUUUAUCCCCUUUAAACUGCUUUUAUUUAUGAUGUGGUGGUUUGUAAAAGCGAUCUUGCAGGCAGACACAACACAAACGCCCGGUUUGUUAUUGAAACGUAUCCUGGGAGGUGGGCCCUGUAUGCAGUUACAGUGGGAGAGGUGGAGCCUAAGCCACGCCCAGUCCAGUCACAACUCAAUCACACAAAACAAGUACGUUGCUGUUAUUCUUUUUCUGUUUGUCCACAACUUCUUCUUAGUCAGGCUUUUUAAUACUGAACAUCACCUGUGUCACUCCCAAUAACAGCACGUGUUUAUUGUGGACUGAUUUGCUUUUUUCGGGGUUAAUUUUUGUGUGUUAUCCGAACAUUUCAUUACAGAAGGGAAUGCGGUACGGAAGCUGAGGGAAAAAAACGCACAGAAAAAAGAGCCUCAAGUCACCUCUCUGCUCUUUCUCUGCAGGACAUGUCGCUUGUGUUUUUGAUGUUUUCCAUUGUCUUCUUCGGCUCAUCCUCUGGUAUACAAACUGAUGAGGUGUGCUAUGGCAGGAGGUGGCAGUUUCCAUCUAAUUAUACACCCUUACGUUAUACUGGACCGAUAUACUUUACUCAAAGUAAUGGAGGAUCCGUGAAAGUUGUUAUAAACAAUGGGAUGGCAAUAGACGGACGCUUCAGAGUCUCUCUUGGCGCAAUUUAUGUUACAAAUGUGACAGAAAGAGAUGAAGGAAUUUAUUCUGUCUCAUCUGGUGGCCACCAGCGACACAGUGUUGUUGAACUGAAAGUCUUGGAAUGUGCCGAAAAGGUCACAAGGAAUUACUACUAUACGUGGGAGUACUCGAUCCCUAGACGGGCUGAAAUCCUGGAGUUUACUCCCCUUCACAGUCCGGACCAGCCAAAGAUCCUGUGGAAUCGCACAGACUCUCAGAUCAGAGAAAGCAGAGCUGAGGUGAGAAACGGUAAUUGGCAGCUGUCUUACCUCACUCAUGCAGACAGUGGCUACUACAACUUCAGGGAUAAGGACCACUCUGUGUUGGCCAGGGUGCUGCUCAAAGUACAAGAACAAACCAGACACUAUGAAACAAAGUGGAAUGAGUACCUCGUCAUUGAAUACCCUCGGGGUGCUAAGAAGUGGACCAUGACUUUUACACCUGAGGGGAAAAUGGAACCCAAAACACUGAUGGAUGGCAGUCUGAUCAUAAAAGAUAAUCAUUUUUCUGGCAGAAUUCGUGCAGUGAUAGAUGGCAUAGUAAUCGAUCCUGCCGAAAUUGGAGACUCUGGCACCUUUGAGUUCAGAGACCCAGAAGGCAACCUGAUCUUGAGUGCUCAGCUUGAAGUGAUCCCUGAAAUGUUGCCACAGAUUAUAUUUAUGGUUGUGACUGUCUUGAUUGUCAUCUUGGUGAUGGUCUGCUGUUGCUGUUGUUGUAAAAAGUGCUGUAAAAGGGACAAGUCUGCUCCUCAGACUGCAGCCUCACCUGCACCUGCUGUAUAUUAUCAUAAUGAGAAUGAACCUGCAUGCCCAAGCUACUCACAUCCUUCAGCUUUGUCUUAUCAGCCUGUGAAUUCUCAUGUUUCUACACAGCCUUCAGCUACCUCCUCUGAGCCACCGAUGUACCACAAAGUGAAUAUCCAUGAGAGCCCUGCUCAGCCUGAGGUUGCAGUACCUGGAAAGCAGGCUUCCACUCCAGAUCCCUCGGUCGGCCCAGACUUCCUCUUGUCAGACCCAGAGCCGCGAUUUGAACUGAAAGGAUUAGACAUGCCUUUUGCACCAUCUCUUACUUCAGACACAACUAUCUGUGAUGUUUAUAACUCAGACAAACUAAACUUUCUGUAAAUAGCAUGCUGAAAAUUCAGGUACAAGAACAUAAAUCUCACUCAGUGUUGUCCUCAAAAUGCCCUGUUACAUCUCCAGCAGCUGAAGUGUGAACUACGGAAUCAGGGUUUUAUUAUAUUGUGGAAUAUAAAUGCAUAUGCUGUAAAUUAGAAUUGUUAUUUGCAUGUAGUGUCUACUUUGCUUCUCUCCACGGAGCUAAGGAUAUUUACUGAAUAACAGAUAAUGCAAUCCAGUAUAAUGGCAAAGCAUGUAAUACGCUUUGCCAUUGAUAUCGGACUAGAUAAUGUUGCUAGCUUUAGCUUGUAUGGGUAUUUUCUACCUCUGUCAUGUGCAUUCAGCUCCAUACAUCACUUGUUUGUGGCUUUUAUUGUUGCGUUUUGAGGGAUGUUGGGCAAUUUUUAAAAGUGGCUUUUUAUAUUGUUUAAUUCUCAAAUGCAAUACAAGUAUAACUGUGGUUCUGUAUAUCUUUAAACAGAAGCUUGUAUAAAAGUUUUAUCGGGCAUUGAAAAACAUGUAUUGUUUAUAUAAUAUAUGUAAAAUUCUGAUAGUUGUUUGCAUUGCAUGAAGAUGUCCGAAUAUGGAAUCAGUGUAAUGAUUUGAAAAAGACCUUAAAGAGCUUACAUAAAUUUUUAAACUGUCCCUUUGUCUCGCUCCCUCUUUCUGUCUCACUCUCUCUCUCUAACACACACACACACACACACACACACACACACACACACACACACACACACACACACACGCACACACACGCACACGCGCGCGGACACAGUGGAAUGACAACACCACUACUUCUUACAUUUUAAAAAAUCUAAAUGGAAGAGCCCCUUAAAAUUUGCAUGGAAACUAGAGGGUUAGGCAUUUUUUAACAUUACAAUCAGCAUUACAGUUGUAAUAGCUUCUAAUGCAACUGUAAGUCAUUUAAUUAUAACAGCAUUUGUAUGUUGACAGACAUUUAAAAAAGCUGGUUUUGGAGAGUCUGCUACUAUGCAGCUCUUAUAGCAAGUUGAUGUGCAGAUGUUAAUUCCUGCAGUGGAUGUUCCUUUGCCUACAUGCAUGUAGUUUAAGUAAUUGCUUUGUGUUAUCAUAUUUCGUAGAUAAAUAUAAAUUGGUGUCAUCUGCAUAGCAAUGAAAAUGCAUGUGUUUUCUAAUAAUAUUGCAUGAGGGGAAACAUAUAAUGUAAAAAGUAUUGGUUCUAGGACAGAACUCUGUGGAACUCCAUGAAAAAUUCUUUAACUUACAUUAAUACUACCUGUCUACCUGUUCAUUCCUGGUCCAUUCCUGGUAUAAAGCCUGAGAAUAACUGCUAUGGCAUGGGGUUAAACUUUUCAUCUGAUUAUAUACAUAUUAUUUAUUAUGGACCAGUACAGUUCACUCCAAAUAAAGGAGGCUCCUCAAAAUUUGAGGUAAAUGUUUGGAGGUAAGCUGCUCCACGUGCUGUGUGACCAUGUCUGGUCUUAAUGAGAAUUAAACUAUCCUGCAUCAACCAAUCUGUUUGAUAAUAGAUUUGUUUAGAUAGACUUUUCCACUUGAAGUACUUUUUUCUACUGUUUUUGUACAUAAGUGCUUUCUAUCUAGCAUUCACACUUAUCAUAUCGGUGAGUAACUUGGGGUUCAGUAUCCCAAGAAUCCUUUGGCAUGCUGAUUGUAACAGCCAGGGAUUGAAGCACCAACCUUCUGAUUAGUGGAUGACCUGCUCUACCUCCAGAGCCCUGUUACUUGUGCAUUUCUAAAUACAAGUUCACUCUGUUUUUUGUUGUUGUUUAAAAAAAAAAUAAAAAAUUCUA